RNA transcript from Loxodonta africana (African savanna elephant), 3638 nucleotides. It is a transcript of the gene named zinc finger protein 420-like, with no coding region annotated. The record is from RefSeq and is a predicted model, not a curated record. Lineage: Eukaryota; Metazoa; Chordata; Mammalia; Proboscidea; Elephantidae. The transcript is spliced from 11 exons.
ACCGGAAGCGGAAGUGUGCCUCCUUGGUCGGUGUCCGUCCCGCUCCGGAGUGAGGUCGGUGUGGCAGUGGCUGCUUCCUGGAGGCCGCGGAGGUGGGACCUGCGUCUCUUGGUGCGUGGACAGGUCUCAGGUGUGGUGCAGGGAGAACUAGUCCAGUCCAGGCAGCUGGGGACCUAGGGCGACCAUCUUGCACAUCUGUCAGUCACAGGGAAGGAUUUCAACUGCUCUGGCUGGUGUGUGGACCAGACAUUGUUCAUCUGCCUCCAAUUUGCCCAGUGCUCUGCUUCCACUCCUGUCCCUCUUUCAGAAGUGCCUUUUUGGGAUCAGAGACAACAUUCCCUUAGACUUCCAGAAGGUGGAGAAAGAAAUGGUGAUCUCCUGCCUUACCAAGUAUGAUGUCCUUCUCCAGGGACCAGUCCCUUCAGAUAAUAUGACCAAAGAUCCAGUGAUCGCUGAGGAUGUGGCUGUGGUCUUUAGCCAGGAAGAGUGGGCUUUGCUGGAUCUUGCCCAGAGGAAACUCUACAGAGAUGUGAUGAUGGAAACCUGCAAAAACCUGGCUUCAGUCGUCUCUCGAAAUCUUAAUGGUGGAGAAAAGCUAUCCCGGAAACAUGUAAUGGGGCAAUUCAUGAAGAAUAAUAUGUGCGUUCAGUGUUGUAAAUUUCCCUGUCAACAUGCCUUUCUCUGGACCCAACAAAUUUUGGACUCAGUGGUCAUUGAGGAUGUGGCCGUGAUCUUUAGCCAGGAAGAGUGGGCAUUGCUGGAUGUUUCUCAGAGACAACUCUACGUAGAUGUGAUGAUGGAAACCUCCAGAAACCUGGCCUCAGUAGACUCUCGAAACCGUCAUGAGGGAGAAAAGUUAUCCAGGGAACAUAUAACGGUGCGACUCAUGAAGAAUAACACCUGUUCCUCCAUGUUUGGAGAAAUCUCUGAAUUACAUGACAGUAAAGAUCAGCGUAAAAACCAGGGUAGACUUUUGAGAAGUCUUACAGUAGAGAACCUCUGUGAAAGUAACGAAGACAAUCAAUGUUGGAAAACCGUCAGAGGGAUUCCAUGUCUUACUGUGCUAAAAAGACAUCUUGGAGAACCAAAUCCUAUUGAAUGCUGUGAGUGUGGAAAAGCCUUCAUGGAGCACCCAUCAUAUAAACACCAUGGCAGAUCUCACACUGGAUACAAUACCUGUCAGUGUAAGGAAUGUGCAGAAGCCUGUACUAGUUCGUCUCAGUUAACCACUCCUAUGAGAACUCUUAAUGGAAAGAAACCCCGUAAAUGUAAGGUCCUUCAUAUGGUAGCUGUGUUUGUUUCUUGAUCCCGGAGUGGAAUAGUUUGAAAUCCUUGAGCAACCAUCAUCUGAAGGUGGAACUUUUGAACUCUGGGAAGAAAUGAACUUGACCAACAGGUUGAAUAGACUGGAACUAAAGAGGAGUAAUAGUAAAAUAGCGAAUAAGGGUCCCAGGAGAGACUCUUGAAACCUUAAUGAUGGAGAAAAGUUAUCCAGGGAACAUACUAUGGUGUGAUUCAAGAAUAACACCUGGGCCUUCACAUUAGGAGAAAUCUCCAAAUCAGAUGACAAUAAAGUUCAGCAUAGAAACCGGGGUUGACAUUUGAGAAGUCAUAUAGUAGAGAACUUCUAUGAAAGUAACGAAGGCAGUCUCUGUGGGAAAGCCUUCAGCUGGAUUCCAAAUCUUACUGCGCUAAAAAGAAAUCCUCCAGAAGCAAACCCUAUUGAAUACUGUGAGUGUGGAAAAGCCUUCAUGGAGCACCCAUCACAUAAACAUCAUGGCAGAUCUCACAGUGGUACAAUACCUGUCAGUGUAAGGAAUGUGGAGAAGCCUGUACCUGUCCCUCUCACCUAGCCACUCCAAUGAGAACUCUUAAUGGAAAGAACCCCAUAAAUGUAAGGUAUGUGGGAAGGACUUCAUUUGUAUCUCAACCCUUAAGAAUCCUGUGACGACACUCACUGGUGGGAAAUGCUGUGAGUGUAACGAAUGUGGGAUAGAUUUCUCUAGUUUCUCAUCCUUUCAGACACAUGUAAAAGAUCAUAAGCCUGAAUAUAAAGAAUGUUGUAAAAUGUAUAGUGGUUCUUCAUCCCUUGUUUUACUUACAAAAAUUCAUAACAGAGGUAAGUCUUAUGAAUGUAAGGAAUGUGGGAAAGCCUUUAGUGUUUACUCAUCCCUGACUCAACAUAUAAGAACUCAUGAUGGAGAGAGACCUUAUACAUGUACGGAAUGUGGGAAGGCAUUUAGUCGUUUCUCAUACCUCAUUUCACAUAUAAGAACUCACAGUGUGGAGAGGCCUUAUGAAUGUAAGGAAUGUGGGAAAGCCUAGGUGUUUCUCAAAUCUCUCUCACUGUAUGAAAAUUCACAGUAGGCAAAGGCCUUACGAAUGUAAGGAAUGUGGGAAAGCCUUUAGUCAUUCCUCAUCUGUCACUCAUCAUAUGAGACCCCACAGUGCAGAGAGGCCUUAUAAAUGUAAGGAAUGUGGGAAGGCCUUUAGUGAUUCCUCACACCUUACUACACAGAAGAACUCACAGUUGAGACAGACCAUAUGAAUGCAAGGGACGUGGGAAAGCCUUUAGUGAUUCCUCAGCCCUCACUACACAUAGAACUCACAGUGAAGAGAUGCCUCAUGAAUGUAAAGGAUGUGGGAAAGUCUUUAGGACAACCUCAAACCUCACUACACAUAGAUGAACUCCAGUGGAGAGAUGCCCUAUGAAUGUAAGGAAUGUGGGAAAGCCUUUAGAGAUUCCUCAGCCCUCACUACACAUAGAAAAACUCACAGUGAAGAGAAACCUUAUCAAUGUAAGGAAUGUGGGAAAGCCUUUAAUGAUUCCUCACACCUUAGUAUACAUAUAAGAACUCACAGUGGAGAGAGACCUUAUGAAUAUAAGGAAUGUGGGAUAGCUUUCAGUUGUUCUUCAUUCCUAACCAAUCAUAUAAGAACUCCCAGUGCAGAGAUGCUUUAUCAAUGUAAGGAAUGUGGAAAAGUCUUUAGGCAAGUUUCAAACCUUACUAAACGUAGAAGAAUUCACAGUGAAUAGAGGCCUUAUGAAUGUAAGAAAUGUGGGAAAGCCUUUAGUGAUUCCUCAGCCCUGGCUACACAUAUUAGAUCUCACGGUGGAGAUAUGCCUUAUGCAUGUAAAGAACAUGGGAUAAUCUUUAGGGGAGUCCUACACCUCACUAAACAUAAAAUUCACUUUGGAGAGAGGCCUUAGGAAUGGACAGAAUGUGGGAAAUUGUUAUUUCCUCACACCUCACUUCACAUAUAAGAGCUGACACUUGAGAGACUACUCUGUGUCAAAAGUGGAAUGUUUCACCCUUAGCGCUAUAAUUUCAAACAGCAAAUUUCUGAAAGUCUAUGAUUAAAGAACAAAGUUUCUCUGUGAGUAAGAAAGUAAUACCAACUUAAAGAACGGGUUUAUUGAGCUACUUUGUGCCUUUGGCAGAAGUGAUAGUUUGAUUGUAACUAUGGCACUGUCCUCAUCAGUGUUUGUUACUUUCUCAGUGCAAGCUAAAUUUUACCUUUCUGAACGUCUUUACCUAUUACAAGUAGCGCUGCAGGGAAUAGCCUUGAGCAAAUGUGGUUUUAUAUUUUUAAUUUUUUAAUUAAUGUUAUUUUGCAUAGAAUUAAAUGCACUCAUC